Molecule: ribosomal RNA, 2833 nt
Filed under: Triticum aestivum (bread wheat)
Lineage: Eukaryota; Viridiplantae; Streptophyta; Magnoliopsida; Poales; Poaceae
Description: partial small subunit ribosomal RNA
Source: RNAcentral
CCCCACACUCGCCGCCCCGCCCGCGUCCUCGCGUCCCAGCCCCCUCCUUCCUCUCCUCACGCGGUCGCGCCUCCCUCCGAACCCUCGAUCCGCGCCCGCCUCCCUGCCCCACGCCGCCAUCAUCUCCGCCGGCGCCCGACUCCUCCGCCGCCUCCUCUCCACCGCCACCGCGAAGGACCUGUAGAAAGCGGCACGCCCUGUAGGGAAGCGGGCGGCGCGCGCCGUCGCCCCAGGAUGCGCGCGGACAACUCUCUCGCGUUGACGCCCCCGCUCCCUCCCCUUCUCCUCGUCGCCUCCCCUCGCGCCGCCGUCGCCGUCCGAGAAGCACCGCGGCCACUACUACUCUGCGUCGUGCCGAGCUUGCCACCGCCGCCGCUCUCCCGGUCGAGCUCGUCCCUCACCACCGGCCCUCAAGUUGUGGAGGGGCAACAGGCAGCGGUGGACAAGGAGAUCUACCACCAACCGCCGCCGCCUGUCCUCCUGCUUCGCCAUCAACGCGAGGAGCACCGGAGCGUGUCCUCAAGUUUGUGCUCCUCCGGGAAGAGGACAACCCGAGAUCUGUCAUGGAGGUCAACCCUGACGUCGGCCUUGUCGGAUUGGAGCGGCAGUGCGGUGGCUGGUCUACUGUGGCGGCUCGCUGGAGGCAGCAGCGACCCAAUCGGCACCGCCAUCUCCUUCCCUAUCCAUGAGCCAACCUCUGUCUUCCUCCCCGACGGCGGCGUCGAACCAACACUGGGUUAUGCUACCCUUGGCCGUGGCCUAACACGCGCGGACUGAAGCGUUGGUCAGGCACCCACUGCUUGGCUGCACGUCUGGGUCAUCUCAGAUAAGCUAAUCUAUCUCUUCUUUAAAAUAAGAUCAUGUGCUUCUCUGAUCCGGUUGUAGUAAGUUGUACAAGGCCUUAGCUGGUUGUCAGGAGGAACCUUCACCUCAUGGCUAAAACUUGGGUAAAACCGUGGGCAUACAAAAUACAUCUUUGUUUUUUUUGCCUUAUAAACAUGGCCGUGAAAGAACCGAAUAUUGGAAAACAACUGUAUAUCAAUUCUCACUUACUCUGAUAUUUCUGAAAGUGAAAGGGAUGAAGGAUAGUGUAGUGAGCAGAGAACACACAGGUUAUGUUGAAAAUUUUGGUCGAAGUUACAGUCCAUUAGCUGGCAGAAAUAUAACACAACUAGCAUGCCUAGAUGCACACAACGUUGAUGGUAAUAAGAUAUGCUUGACAACUAACUAACAAAAUCAGAUUAUUCAUUUCAUAAAUGUAGAAAAAAAUAAGUAUGGUCUUCACAACGUGUCUUCUUCUAUGAUUCGGUAACUUGCAUUCCAAUCUUAUUUGUCUUCUUUUCAUUGGGCAUGGUGUAUUUAGGUUAUCAAAGGGGAUUGUGUAUGGCUGUUGACAAUCCAGAUUGUGGGCAGCUAAGAGAGGGGAAAACUUCUCUGUUCUGUCCACUGCCUACAUACAAGCUGCAUGACAAAGGGUAUGUGGAAGACUGGAUUUGAUAUUAUCAUGGAAUUAUAGCUAUUAGCGUGUUCCUGGCUCUCGUUUGCUGUUAUUCCUUCAUAAUUGCAACAAAUGGCCUAAGCGUUGGACCACCGGGUGGAUAGGGCAAGCGUGUGAUGUGCCAGGGCGUAAUCUGUGUCGCUGCUCCGCAUAGAGGAGCACACCAUCGAGAUGGCCCAAAAUGGAAACACCGUAGGCCACAACUCUGGUGGGGGCCUCCAUGGUUGCUGACGACCAGAUGCCACCAUGGUCUCCGAUGUCGUCAUGGCCCUUGCCGCCAGCCCACAACACAGUGCCGAGCAGGGGGUGUGGCCGGCGGUGGUCAUUGAUAUCUUCAGCAGCGUCGGGUGUUGGCCACUUGCGCUGGUGGCUUUCUCCCGCUUUUGGUAUGACUGAUUAACAGAAAAAAAAUCGUGGCCAUUGGUCACCGCUUUUCAUCAAGAUGAUUCUGUAUCAUUGUAAUAGUGAGACUUUACUACACCCAUUCUGUCGGUAGAACAUUCUCUUAGGAGAUUGUUUUAUUUGUUUUGGUUGAGAUAUACUAAAGGCUGUGUACCUAUGGAAAGAAAAAAUACACUUUCAAGUUUUGUAUGUAGUACUUGAUGUAUGUCUCAAGUAUAACUUAUAAUGAUCCUACUCUUAGUACUUGCUCUCUCAUGUUUAUGCUCUUAGUACUGAAUUUAGUGUCAGGUAAUUAGCUUUUGUGAUCUCAUGAACAGACUGAACUUGAUGCGGCCUUAUAAUCCCAUGACCAUGUUGAAAUUGAUGAUGUCUUGCUUCUCAUACCAGUGAAUGUUUCUUCGUUCUCUUGGACCAGGUAAGUCAUUGUCCUGUUGAAUAUGAGCGCUAAACUAUGCUCCCUACUAAAUUUUUUAAAGGUGCUCCCUACUAAUUUGAUCACUAUCUAUUUUACCACAUUGAUGCGACAGGCACCCCGCGCCAAGGCGCGCUGUCGAUCUAGUAUGUGUUAUCGUGCGUAUCUUCAAUGACUUCUCCCUCAUCUUACUUGAGGUUGCAUACUCUGUCGCGGAGGACAUUAACCAGUUGCGUCCCUCCUUUGCAUACAUGCAGCUGCGUGUCUUUUUGGAUGUAAUCUGGUUGUAAUUUCUUUUUUUCUCCGCUUUCAUCUUAUAAAUAACAUUUGUUCUUCUUUUCCUAUAUUUUUAUCCUAAAAAAUUAAAGGUCAAGCUUGAAUUAAUAAGUCAAAGUCAGAGCUGAUAAGCAAACAACUAUUGGAGGGAGUAUUAUUAUUAUUAUUAAACAAGAGUGGAAAGGAACGGGAACGUGUUACAGAAUUGUGUAAAUCCUGCUCCAUACAUAUAUGACGAGUUCAUC